UCUGGUGUCAGCCGCCGCGGUAAAACCAGCACCUCAAGUGGUCAGGAUGAUUAUUGGGCCUAAAGCAUCCGUAGCCGGCUCUGUAAGUUUUCGGUUAAAUCUGUAUGCUCAACAUACAGGCUGCCGGGAAUACUGCAGAGCUAGGGAGUGGGAGAGGUAGACGGUACUCGGUAGGAAGGGGUAAAAUCCUUUGAUCUAUUGAUGACCGCCUGUGGCGAAGGCGGUCUACCAGAACACGUCCGACGGUGAGGGAUGAAAGCUGGGGGAGCAAACCGGAUUAGAUACCCGGGUAGUCCCAGCUGUAAACUAUGCAAACUCAGUGAUGCAUUGGCUUGUGGCCAAUGCAGUGCUGCAGGGAAGCCGUUAAGUUUGCCGCCUGGGAAGUACGUACGCAAGUAUGAAACUUAAAGGAAUUGGCGGGGGAGCACCACAAGGGGUGAAGCCUGCGGUUCAAUUGGAGUCAACGCCAGAAAUCUUACCCGGAGAGACAGCAGAAUGAAGGUCAAGUUGAAGACUUUACCAGACAAGCU
Molecule: ribosomal RNA, 530 nt
Filed under: uncultured Nitrososphaerota archaeon
Lineage: Archaea; Thermoproteati; Nitrososphaerota
Description: bacterial SSU rRNA
Rfam family: Archaeal small subunit ribosomal RNA
Source: RNAcentral